GUCUACAGCCAUACCACCCUGAGUGUGCCCAAUCUUGUCUGAUCCCGGAGGCUAAGCAGGGUCGGGCCUGGUUAGUACUUGGAUGGGAGACAUAUUUAUUUAUGACUUUGGAAUAGAGGAGAGGCC
Molecule: ribosomal RNA, 126 nt
Organism: Cavia aperea (Brazilian guinea pig)
Lineage: Eukaryota; Metazoa; Chordata; Mammalia; Rodentia; Caviidae
Source: Ensembl